Molecule: ribosomal RNA, 1277 nt
Filed under: metagenome
Description: bacterial SSU rRNA
Rfam family: Eukaryotic small subunit ribosomal RNA
Source: RNAcentral
UUAUGGUAGGAUUAAUAAGUAGGGAAAAAAUUAGAAAUUCCUAUCGAAGCCAAAUUUUAAAGAGUUAAAUCUUUGAAUUUUGGUUUAAUACUUUGAACAAAAUAGCGUGUUCAAAACAGGCAUUUAUUUAAAGCCUUGAAUAUAUUAGCAUGGGAUAUUCGAAAAUGACUUUCAAUAAAGUUCUUAUUGGUCUUUAUUUAAAGUAAUGAUUAAUGGGGAUUGAUGGAGUCACUCUUAUUUAAUGGAUAGAGGUGAAAUUCUAUGACCCAUUAAAGAAGAACUGAAGCGAAAGCAUUUGACAAAAAUGUUUUCUUUAAUCAAGAACGAAAGUUGUAGGAUCGAAGAUGAUUAGAUACCGUCGUAGUUACAACAGUAAACUAUGUCGACUUAGGAUAGGACAAAGUUACAUGGAUGACUUAUCCUGCGCUAAUCGAGAAAUCAAAGUUACUAGACUCCGGGGGGAGUAUGGUCGCAAGGCUGAAACUUAAAAGAAUUGACGGAAGGGCACCACCAGGCGUGGAACCUGUGGCUUAAUUUGACACAACGCGAGAAAACUUACCAGUUCAGGACAUAAAAAGGAUUGACAGAUUGAUUGUUCUUUCAUGAUAUUAUGAAAGGUGGUGCAUGGCCGUUUUUAGUUCGUGGAGUGAUUUGUCUGGUUAAUUCCGUUAACGAACAAGACCUUAUCUUGUUAACUAGACAUUUCUAUAGAUUGACUUUGAAAAGGUUUCUUCUUAGAAUUUUCGGAUUUAAAACCCGGAAUUUUUAAUGAAAUUCCUUGGAUUAAUUUUCAAUUUUCUUUAAAAAGGAAUUGGAAUUUAGUUCUAGUUUAGACAAAUAGAGUGGCUUCUUAGAAGGACUAUUCACUUUUAGUGAAUGGAAGAAUGACAAUAACAGGUCUGUGAUGCCCUUAGAUGUACUGGGCCGCACGCGCGUUACAAUGGAUGACUCAAUGAGCUUAACCUGGCCUUAAAAGGUUUAGGAAAUCUCUAAAAAUUAUUCGUGAUUGGAAUAGUGUUUUGCAAUUAUUGCACUUGAACGAGGAAUGCCUUGUAAGAGUUUGUCAUUAACAAACUCUGAAUAAGUCCCUGCCCUUUGUACACACCGCCCGUCGCUCCUACCGAUUGAGGUUUGAGGUGAGGACUUGGGACGAAUUAUUGAAAUUGAAAAAUUUAGAUGAAUUUUCGAAAGAAAAUUAUGUUAUGAACAUGUUCAAAUCUUGAUACUUAGAGGAAGGAGAAGUCGUAACAAGGUCUCCGUAGGUGAACCUGCGGAGG